GAACAAAGAAAUGUGGCUGCAACAUCUGUCACCCCACAGAUUGCCAGGGUGGAUUCAGCUGAUCUGGUUGGCUAGGCAGAUGUCCCCUUCCUCCCUCACCGCUCCAUGUGUGUCCCUCCUGAAGCUGUGCACCUGGUUGAAGGGGACAGAUGACCUUCCCCAACAGAAAGGGGACUGUCCCUCAGUCAAGGGUACAUGAGUAGCCAUAGUUCCCUGCUAGAAAAUCCAAACACGCUCUCAAGAACAAGGAAAUGGUCUGAAAUUGAUAUGUGAUGAUUGCAGAGCACUUCUUGAUAUGAUUAAGUUAUUGCAUUGCAUGUUAUUAGAAUAUGUCCCAA
This 338-nucleotide small nuclear RNA is filed under the name Echinops telfairi (small Madagascar hedgehog). RNAcentral's name for it is "7SK RNA (ENSETEG00000024795.1)". It matches the Rfam family "7SK RNA". Rfam says of the family: 7SK was discovered as an abundant small nuclear RNA in the mid-70s but a possible function has only recently been suggested. Two independent studies have found that 7SK RNA binds the CDK9/cyclin T complex (known as elongation factor P-TEFb). The record is from RNAcentral. Lineage: Eukaryota; Metazoa; Chordata; Mammalia; Afrosoricida; Tenrecidae.